RNAcentral lists this ribosomal RNA (528 nucleotides) under uncultured bacterium. Its description in RNAcentral is "partial 16S ribosomal RNA". It matches the Rfam family "Bacterial small subunit ribosomal RNA", at positions 355 to 894 of the family's 1533-position model. The record is from RNAcentral.
UGGGGAAUAUUGCACAAUGGGCGAAAGCCUGAUGCAGCAACGCCGCGUGAGGGACGACGGCCUUCGGGUUGUAAACCUCUUUUAGCAAGGAAGAAGCGAAAGUGACGGUACUUGCAGAAAAAGCGCCGGCUAACUACGUGCCAGCAGCCGCGGUAAUACGUAGGGCGCAAGCGUUAUCCGGAAUUAUUGGGCGUAAAGAGCUCGUAGGCGGUUUGUCGCGUCUGCUGUGAAAACCCGAGGCUCAACCUCGGGCCUGCAGUGGGUACGGGCAGACUAGAGUGCGGUAGGGGAGAUUGGAACUCCUGGUGUAGCGGUGGAAUGCGCAGAUAUCAGGAAGAACACCGAUGGCGAAGGCAGAUCUCUGGGCCGUAACUGACGCUGAGGAGCGAAAGGGUGGGGAGCAAACAGGCUUAGAUACCCUGGUAGUCCACCCGUAAACGUUGGGAACUAGUUGUGGGGUCCAUUCCACGGAUUCCGUGACGCAGCUAACGCAUUAAGUUCCCCGCCUGGGGAGUACGGCCGCAAGGC